ACGGAUGCCUCGAAGAUUCUUUUACUUCGUCUUGAUAGUCGCUUUGAUAAGGUGAAACGGCGCUUGGCCCAGGACGUCACCGACUCCGGCGGGGCCGAGUCAGUUCUUGGAUAACUGUCGAAAUUGUGGUACUAAUGCAUGGGUCGAACCCACGAACUGUACGUGAUGGGCGCUAGCUUAUGAUGAAAACUUACCGACUUUUCCUCGCCCUUUGGUGAAAUUGAAAAACUUUCUCCUUAUCGCAAGGGCAAGCCCCCACGACACCCACUUCUCACGGGGAACGUAACAACUUUCCUGGGCGGCUUAGUGUGCCACGGGGGUUUUGACGGACAUCUAAGGAUCAGGGUUCGAUUCCGGAGACAAAGCCUUGUGAAUGAAUACCACUUGUACCGAUAGGAACUUGGACGCCAACCGCCCACUGGCGCAAGACCGAGGUAGUGGCGAAAGUAACGAUCGUUAUACCCAAUUAAAGGCACGGAUAUCUGCACGAAUACACUUUAAAUCAUGUUCCCCAGGAACAAGAAUAGGGCAAGAGCUGUCCCUGUGUCCACGCUAAUUGCGUCUGGGCUGGGUGAUAUUUCCCGUUUGCAGGUUAAUUAGCUCGCAGUUGGAUCUCCUGGUUCGGCCCUUCCGUCAAUUCCUUACGUUACUGCCCCUGCAAUGAUAGUGCUUCGACAGACGCAAGACUGUGAUCUUCCUGAAUUGGCUCGGAGGGUCAUGGGGAUUACUUUCGAAAAAAUCUAUAGUGUGGCAACGCUUGCUGGUCAGAACUUGCAACUCUGUCCGAUGGAAUUUUGGACCUAGCGACUUUCGUUCUUUUUUGAAUGGUUACCUUCAUGGGGAAUGCUGUUUAAUUUGGGUCCGGUCUGGGGCCGGUUCCAAUAUUUCCACACAAGUGAACAUUCUUUGGACCGCCCUCAAGACUACCUACCUGCAUCAGCGUCUCCCCAUUCAAAGUGUAAACUCAACUAAGAACAAACGGAAUACGUUUCCAAUGCCGUCCCAGAUUGCCGCCAUUACAUGCCUAACCGUGUGACCUGCUUCUCGCAACUACGCGAUAUUCUGUAUGUAAAGUAGUAAUACGCUUUCUCGGUCCACUCC
This 1101-nucleotide ribosomal RNA is filed under the name uncultured eukaryote. Its description in RNAcentral is "partial 18S ribosomal RNA". The record is from RNAcentral.